CCUACGGGAGGCAGCAGUAGGGAAUAUUGCUCAAUGGGGGAAACCCUGAAGCAGCAACGCCGCGUGGAGGAUGAAGGUUUUCGGAUUGUAAACUCCUUUUGUUAGAGAAGAUAAUGACGGUAUCUAACGAAUAAGCACCGGCUAACUCCGUGCCAGCAGCCGCGGUAAUACGGAGGGUGCAAGCGUUACUCGGAAUCACUGGGCGUAAAGAGCGCGGAGGCGGGAUAGCAAGUCAGAUGUGAAAUCCUAGGGCUUAACCAUAGAACUGCAUUUGAAACUGUUAUUCUAGAGUAUGGGAGAGGUAGGUGGAAUUCUGGGUGUAGGGGUAAAAUCCGUAGAGAUCAAGAGGAAUACUCAUUGCGAAGGCGACCUGCUAGAACAUAACUGACGCUGAUGCGCGAAAGCGUGGGGAGCAAACAGGAUUAGAUACCCGGGUAGUC
RNAcentral lists this ribosomal RNA (440 nucleotides) under uncultured bacterium. RNAcentral's name for it is "partial 16S ribosomal RNA". It matches the Rfam family "Bacterial small subunit ribosomal RNA", at positions 338 to 795 of the family's 1533-position model. The record is from RNAcentral.